Molecule: long non-coding RNA, 242 nt
Organism: Haplochromis burtoni (Burton's mouthbrooder)
Lineage: Eukaryota; Metazoa; Chordata; Actinopteri; Cichliformes; Cichlidae
Exons: 2
Source: RefSeq, a predicted model, not a curated record
AAAGCCUCAGAUUAUAUAUUUAUUGUGAUUUUGUCAGUUGUAUAAUGUCUGAUGAUGUUUCAUUCAUUAUUUUAGUGCUUGGUACAGUCAGACAUGGAAACACUGAAGACCUUGGAGUGAAGGCCACUCUGACAGCAGACAGAUUAACCAUACCAGCAGGGGGCAGUGUGACACUGACCUGUGAUGUGAAGAACUCUGCUGACUUUCAAUAUGAGUGGUUCAGAGAACCCAGUUUUAACUCU